This 299-nucleotide ribosomal RNA is filed under the name Colaspis sp. JGZ-2004-1. Its description in RNAcentral is "partial 16S ribosomal RNA". The record is from RNAcentral. Lineage: Eukaryota; Metazoa; Arthropoda; Insecta; Coleoptera; Chrysomelidae.
GGCUUUUUGAGUUAAUUUAAAGUCUAGCCUGCCCAAUGAUAAUUUAAAUGGCCGCGGUAUAUUGACCGUGCUAAGGUAGCAUAAUCAUUAGUUUUUUAAUUGAAGACUGGAAUGAAAGGUUUGAUGAGAAAGUUACUGUCUCCAAAUAAUUAUAUUGAAUUUUAUUUUUAUGUAAGAAAGCUUAAAUUAUUUUGAAAGACGAUAAGACCCUAUAGAGUUUUAUUAAGUUUAUAAUUUUAUAUUUUGGUAAAAAAUUUAUUUGAUUAUAUUUUUAAUUUGAUUGGGGUGAUCAGAAAAUU